This 351-nucleotide unclassified non-coding RNA is filed under the name uncultured fungus. RNAcentral describes it as "partial contains 5.8S ribosomal RNA, internal transcribed spacer 2, and large subunit ribosomal RNA". The stretch from base 1 to 52 matches the Rfam family "5.8S ribosomal RNA", at positions 103 to 154 of the family's 154-position model. The record is from RNAcentral. Lineage: Eukaryota; Fungi.
AACGCAUAUUGCGCUCUCUGGUAUUCCGGAGAGCAUGCUUGUUUGAGUAUCAGUAAACACCUCAAGUCAAGAGAGCUUUUUUGAGUUCUUCGAGACUUGGAUUUGAGCGAUCCUAACCUUUUUAUAUUUAUAAAAAGAGCAGGUUGCUUGAAAUUCAGGUGCAGCUAGGCUUUAUCUUCUGAGCUAUAAGCAUAAUUUAUUUAGUCUUGAUUGACUAUUACUUUUGCUGCAGCUUACAUAAAGGUUGAUUAUUGCCCAAAGUUGGCUGACUGAUGCAGGACUUUAUCAGAGUAGCGCAAGCUUUCUGUUAAACUCGAUCUCAAAUCAAGUAAGACUACCCGCUGAACUUAA